UGGCCUCCAUCACCUGCUCAGGUGUGGAGCUUCUGGGCAAUUUGAGCCCCCAUCACCAUGUGCUCCUCCACCUGGGCAGGACCCAGAGCCAUGCUGGGCUGUCUGGCCCUUCUCUGGGCCCUCCUGGUUCCUGGCCAAGAGAUCAGGCUGGUACAGCUGCCCGUGAUAGUGUCGCGUGUGGGGAAUUCUGUCACCAUGCCCUGCCGGAUCAAUACGUCCGUCAGCUACAUCCAUUGGUAUCGCCAGCUGGAGGGCCAGGCCCCUGAGAGGCUCCUCUAUCUGGCCACGUCGCAGCGGGAUGUGCAGUGGGAUUCCGUCCUGCAAGGCAAUAAGGUCACCGCUAAGAAGGGCAAUGAUGACAAAAGCUGUACCCUGUCCUUGAUGAAGCUGGAGAAGGGUGAUGAGGGCCUGUAUUACUGUGCUGCCUGGGUUCAUACAACAAAAUCUUCGGUGCUGGAACAAAACUUUUCGUCAUAGGUAGGUAUGAGGAAUGCAGCCUUUUCAAGGAGAUGGGGGCAGGCAAGAAACAAAUUUGAAUUAUAGUUAAAAAUGUUUGGAAAAAUGGGAAUGGGAAUGGGGAUUAGAUGUCGAAGUUUAGGAGAGGUUUUAAAACAAAUGCCUAGAGUAAAGGAAAGCAGAGACAACAUGGUGCAGAUAUAGUAGGAUUUGGGUUUGUGUGCAUGUGGGCUUAUGUAAGAGGGCUCAUGGAUAACUCCUAUAAUCAUCAUGAAAGUGUUGGGCUUAAGGCUGAUGUGCGUUAUGACAGGUGAGUUUUGUCAAUCGAUACGUGUCCUUUUCUGAUGGUGAAAAGCUGUUUUCAAAAAUCUAGGCUUUGGAGUCAGGCUAACCUGGAACUCUGGGUCCAUAAUUUACUGCUGCUGAGAACUUGGUUGAUUACUUUUGGGUCUCAGUCUCCUAAUCUGUGAAAUGGGAUAACAGUAUGUAUCCAGCAUGGGUUGUAUAAGAAUAAAUUGAAAUAGUGUGAAGAGUUUACUUGGCAUGUUGUCUAACACAUCAAAAGUGCUGGAUAGGUGAAUCUACACUCUAUUCAAAUGAAAGGGAAAACUGUAUCCCAGAGGAGAGUUGUUUGCAGCCAAAAAUAUUGACAGAACGGAAAUUCCUCAGAGGAUACAGCUUUACUUCUAACCACUCAAAUGGAAAGUUCUCUUAUGUUCCACUCACACUCACACAGUAUUGGUAGGACUUCAGUCUACUUGACAAGAAAAAUGAUAUUAAAAUGUGUUUGUUUUUAUAUUUGUUGUUCUAUGUGCUUUAAAGCCUAAUCUUUUAAUUUAGUUGGUAUCUCCUCUAAUAUCAACAUUUAUUGGCUCUAAAAUAUAUUCAGUAAGUUCUGGCUUCAUGAUCAUAUUUACCAGAAAGUUUUAAUGCAUACAUUCAAUGACUGAGAUGUAAAGGCAAUUCAAUAUAGAGAUUAAAGUCAUAAUAUGAUUUUCUUAUUUAAAUAUGAAAUAGCAUUACUUAAUUUAUAAAAGAAAAUGAGAAGAAAAAAUAUAGAACUCUAACUCAAUAUAAGCAUUAAGUAUAUGGUUGGAGAAAUAUAGUGUCUUACUAUUAUAAUCCAUAAAAUACUAUUUACACUGAAGUGAGAUGUAUAAAGUCAAGCACAUUAUGACCUAAUUAUAUUUACAGCAUAAGUAAAAAAAUCACCACUGUUUGCAUAUGGAUUUAGUAGAGAACUCAGAAACUUUGCUACAGAGGCAAAAAUUCUCAAGAAUUUUUUUCCUUUCCUUUUAAAUAAGUCCAAUUUUUCUUUUCUUAAGAAAUGACCCACCCAAUGAUUAAACGAAUUCCAAACUAGCUCAAAGAGAAUAUUAAUAUGGUAUUUGUGUCUCAUUAGAAAAUCAAGUUGGAGGAGUUCCCAUCGUGGCUCAGUGGUUAACGAAUCCAACUAGGACCCAUGAGGUUGUGGGUUCAAUCCCUGGCCUUGCUCAGUGGGUUGAGGAUCUGGCAUUGCCAUGAGCUGUGGUGUAGGUCGCAGACCGGCUUGGAUCACGAGUUGCUGUGGCUGUGGUGUAGGCCAGUGGCUACAGCUCCGAUUAGACCUCUAGCCUGGGAACCUCCACAUGCCGUGGGAGUGGCCCUAGAAAAGGCAAAAAAAAAAAAAGAAAAGAAAAUCAAUUUGGAAAUGUUCUAACACUUAUAAUUUUAACCAUUGGAUUAGCUAUAAAAGGAUAAUCAAGUAACAUUCCAGCCUUCACGCGACAUUCUUUAUAAACUGUAAUGUUUUCUUUUAUAUUUUGACAUUGUGUCUGCAAGACUAUACGUCUCAGGAAGCAUGCAUUUGACCUUUCUUUAAAUAUAUACACUUUAUUCAGCAGGGAAAACAAAGUAAAUACUGGAGCUCUAAACAGUUCAGCAGCCUAUAAGGUAGAUUCCAAUUUGGGGAAGACAAUGAGAGACAAAGUACAGUGCAUGUUGGUCAUGCUUAAACUUUAAGUGAAAUUCCAGAAUAAAAUGUGCUUUUGGUGAACAUUUUCUAAAGUGAAACAAAAGUCUGAUAAGCACUUUACUUGAUAAAGUUUAUGUAAAACAUAUCAGAAAAUUACACAUUUUUAAUAGAAGUUUUGGAAAGUUUGCUAUUUAGUUUUUAAAUUCAAGAUGCUGUAAAUGAUUUACUCCUCUAUUCAAAAGUCUGGAGUGGUUCAGAUAGGAAAUUGAGAUGCUGUAUAAAAUUAGAAAUCUAUAAGAAUUGCACCACUUCAGAACUGGCCGUAGGACCCACAUUUAGAGCUAAAAGUUCAACAUCACAAAUUGUCAAGUUCGCAUGGAUAUUUUUCCCAUUACAAAAAGUGGCUGUUUAAAAAUAUGAUAAAGUUCCUCCUGAUAUUUACUUGUAUGAGGACAGAAAUAAUUAUGGCUCAUUUCAGAACCAGUUAAAUGAAGAAUGAGCUUCCACAGACUUGCAGAACAAGAGAAUGUGUUAUGUGGCCAAAGAGAGCAUAAGUUACAAAACACAGGAUCAGAAAGGGAGGUAGUUUAGAAGCCAUCAAAGAUUCUCACUUGUAGAGAAGCCGUCAAAUUUCCCUGACCUCCUCCUCCAUCCCUGAUCCCACCACCCACCCAUCCUCUUUCAAACAGACUCCACCAUGAGAGAACAAAAGAGAUUAAAAGAAAUUAACGUGCUCAUGAAUGUUAGAAGCCUUGCUAUGGGGCAGUUAAAAGUCAUACCCCAUCCCUGCAUAUGGAGAAAAUACGAAGGCCAAGGCGUAAUCCAACUUUGCUACUUAUUAGCUGUGACACGGGGCAAGUGACACAAAGUACUGAACUUCUUUUCCCCUUGAAAAUAAGAACAAUGAGAAGCACUAAUAUUCUACUGUGGCUGAAAUCCAUGGUGAGCACUAACUCAAUGGCAGGGUUUCUUCCUCUUACUACUCGCUAAGUUUUUCCAAACCACACAAUGUUCAUGUUACUCGAAUAAUUCUUUUUCAUUAUUGUUUCACUUCCCCCCCACAGACAGAAAUCUUGCUACAGACAUGACCCCCAAGCCCACUGUUUUCCUUCCUUCAAUUGCUGAGAUAGAGCACUCUAAGGUUGGAACAUACCUUUGUCUUCUGGAGAAGUUUUUCCCUAAUGCUAUUCAGGUUUAUUGGAAAGAAAAGAAUGACAACAGAGUUCUGGAAUCCAUGCAAGGAAACACCGUGAAGACUGAUGACACAUACAUGAAAUUCAGCUGGCUGACUGUGAGUGAAGAGUCCAUGGGUAAAGAACACAUAUGUUUCGUCAAACAUGAGAAAAACAGAGUAGAACCUGUUCAGGAGAUUCUUUUUCCUUCAAUUAAUGAAGGUAUGUGAAUAUAAAUAUAUAUGUAAUCUCCCAGAACACUGUGUUUCAAGGAAAAUAUCCCACCUUUUCUGCUAAGCAUUAAUGAUAAACAAGUAAGUCUUUGUAAAAUGAUGUUUCAUUUAAUUGUAGCAUGAAUGUCCUGUUAUUUCCCCAUAGAACUAAAAUAGGAUAUUCUUUGAAACAUCAAAAAGAAAAUAAAAUGUACUUAAUCUUUCUCAGCCUCAGUUUCAUCUUCCACAAUAUUAAAGUCACAGUGAUGUUUCUUAGGGUUGUUAUAUGGCUGAAAUGAAAGGACAUGCAUGAAAACAUCUAGCAAAUUAGCACACAACCAAUGUGCAAAAGCAGAUGCCAUUAUAGAUGAUCUUGGUUGAUGAGGAAAUAAGAACCACUAUACUUCUUGCAGGAAGGGUCUGUUCAAUAAGGAAAGCCACACUCACUUCAAUCUUGCUCUAUUCAAAGUAUAACUCAGAAAGGAGUAUUAAAUGACAAAAUUGUGUUCCGAUGAGAGUCAGAUUACCGCUCAAUAAAAAGUAGAGUAAUUUGACCACUGUGGUUUUAUUAUGGUCUUAGGUUUUUGACCUUUGUACUUUACAUACCAACUUAAGAUAAAAUUUUGCAAGUAAGAUUGGGUAAGGGUUACCCCCAUUCUACAUAAUGAAUGUAUUCCUUGCCAUUGGUGAAUGCCUCUCAAGAAACGUUUAUUGCAGCCUUAGCACGUGCCAGUUCUGGAGGAGACAUGGGGAUGAACACCCUGGGGUGAAUUCCUGUCCCAGGAGCUGGCACUACACUAAAGAGAAUACAUUCUUUUCCUGUUGACUCAGGGUCACCCGAUUCUGGCAUGAUGUCCCAAAGGAGCCCCUGGGUGCAGAGGCUGUACACAUCCACUCAGGGAGGGCAGGGAGCUCGGUGUGCCUUGGCCCUGGCAGUGGUGACUGUAACUCACUAGACUCAGUACUUGGUGUCCUGAGUAUUAAAUUAACAGAGCAAAGGCCCCAGGAUGCCCAUCAAAAGGAGUCAUUUUCGGAGUUCCCGUUGUGGCUCAGUGGUUAAUGAAUCUGACUAGGAACCAUGAGGUUGGGGGUUCAAUCCCUGGCCUCGCUCAGUGGGUUAAGGACCUGGCAUUGCAGUGAGCUGUGGUGUAGGUCUCAUAUGUGGCUCGGAUCCUGCAUUGCUGUGGCUGUGGUGUAGGCUGGUGGCUACAGCUCUGAUUAGACCCCUCCCCAGCCUGGGAACCUCCAUACGCUCUAGAAAGGACAAAAAAAAAAAAAAAAAAAAAAAAA
RNAcentral lists this long non-coding RNA (5084 nucleotides) under Sus scrofa (pig). Its description in RNAcentral is "lncRNA (ENSSSCG00055010154.1)". The record is from RNAcentral. Lineage: Eukaryota; Metazoa; Chordata; Mammalia; Artiodactyla; Suidae.